Molecule: long non-coding RNA, 1272 nt
Filed under: Salmo salar (Atlantic salmon)
Lineage: Eukaryota; Metazoa; Chordata; Actinopteri; Salmoniformes; Salmonidae
Description: lncRNA (ENSSSAG00000086758.1, ENSSSAG00000121495.1)
Source: RNAcentral
CUCAGAAGCCUAGAAUCCCAGAGAACCCUAGAACUCCAGAGGCUAUAAUGCUUGAGAAGCCUAGAACACUGGAGAAGCCUAGAACACUGGAGAAGCCGAGAAUCCCAGACAACCCUAGAACUCCAGAGGCUAUAAUGAUAGAGAAGCCUAGAACACUGGAGAAGCCUAGAACACUGGAGAAUCCCAGAACACUGGAGAAGCCCAGAACACUGGAGAAGCCCAGAACACUGGAGCAGCCCAGAACACUGGAGAAGCCUAGAACACUGGAGAAGCCCAGAACACUGGAGAGGCCUAGAACCCCAGAAAAGCCUAAAGUGGUUGUUCUCUCUAGGCCACUGAGAGCAGUGGUUUUAAGUUCUAGCUCUCCUGCUGAGAACAGAGAACCAGCGUUACAGAACGGAGAACACACGCCUCGACAGGAGACCACACCCUGCCUCACCAACGGCCAACUAGAGCACUCAGCGUGUGCAAACACACUCACACACUCCCCUGCUACCCCCUCCUCCACCCCCCGCAAAGAGAAGCCUCCCAUUGCCCUAAAAAACCCUAAACUAUCCCUACUGAGGACACACCAGACAGACACACCAACCCCACCACCCGUACUCACAGGUACACCUCCACAGCCCUUUGUCCCAGAGACACCACCCUUUCUGGGGAUAAAAUUGGCACAGACAGAGUCCCAGACAGAGACCCAGCCAAAGCCAAAGCCUGAAUUCCCCUUCCUGAAACGCCACCAGUCAGAAUACUAUGUAGCGGAGUUACCACCAAGGCCCUCUCCUCCAGCACCCUGUGUACCAGAGUUACCACCAAGGCCCUCUCCUCCAGCAUCCUGUGUACCAGAGCCACAGCAGGAGUCCUGUCCACUGGAGAUGAAGACAUACACAGAGACAGAAGCAGAGACAAAGGUAGAAUGUGGCUCUGUGCCAAUCACAGAGCUGGGGAGAUCAGAACCUGAACCAGAUGAGAUAUGGGUGAUGCAGGAGGAAGAAGAGAAGGAAGAGAAAGAAGAGAGAGAGAAUGCGCACAUCACACUGAUGCUGGGGAGGAGAGAGGAGGAGGACAGACAGAGGGGAGCCAUUGAGGAGGACAGCAGAGAUUCUGGAAGUUUCUCUCUGGAAGAGAACAGAGACGCCCUUAGCAGUGCACUGUCAAUUGAAGAGGGGGAACUGGAGGAGGAGAGGAUGGAAUGGGAGAAGAGGGAACAGAGGCGCAGCCUGGAGACAGACAGGGCCAGCAGCUCCACAGGAUCCCUGAGCUCCAGAGAGGACAACG